Molecule: ribosomal RNA, 230 nt
Filed under: uncultured bacterium
Lineage: Bacteria
Description: partial 16S ribosomal RNA
Rfam family: Bacterial small subunit ribosomal RNA
Source: RNAcentral
UAAAAGUGGCGUACGGGUGAGUAACACGUGGAUAAUCUGCCUUUUAGUGGGGAAUACCGUUGGGAAACCGACGACAAUACCGCAUAAGCUCGAGAGAGGAAAGCAGCAAUGCGCUGAAAGAGGAGUCCGCGGUCGAUUAGUUAGUUGGCAGGGUAAAAGCCUACCAAGACUGUGAUCGGUAGCCGGCCUGAGAGGGCACACGGCCACACUGGCACUGAAACACGGGCCAG